GACAGAGGGUGCAAACGUUGUUCGGAAUUACUGGGCGUAAAGCGUGUGUAGGCGGCCAUGUAAGUCGGAUGUGAAAGCCCCGGGCUCAACCUGGGAAGUGCACUCGAUACUGCGUGGCUUGAGUAUCGGAGAGGUUGGUGGAAUUCUCGGUGUAGAGGUGAAAUUCGUAGAUAUCGAGAGGAACACCGGUGGCGAAGGCGGCCAACUGGACGAAUACUGACGCUGAGACACGAAAGCGUGGGGAGCAAACAGG
Molecule: ribosomal RNA, 253 nt
Filed under: uncultured bacterium
Lineage: Bacteria
Description: partial 16S ribosomal RNA
Rfam family: Bacterial small subunit ribosomal RNA
Source: RNAcentral